Molecule: small RNA, 446 nt
Filed under: Pongo abelii (Sumatran orangutan)
Lineage: Eukaryota; Metazoa; Chordata; Mammalia; Primates; Hominidae
Description: retained intron
Source: RNAcentral
UUUUUUGCAAUAAUUUGAUCCAGAAUUUUUAUUCUCAGCAGAAGAGUCAAUCAGAGACCUACCAUCCCCCAGGUAGGUAGUGGAAAGACUGGCAGCCUUUGUUGUCUUUCAUAAACUUAAGGCACUUUGUUUUUGCAGGAUUAAUCACUCCUGAAGAUCGGAAAUAUGGAACAACAAAUCUUCACUUAGAUGUAUCUGAUGCAGCUAAUGUCAUGGUCUAUGUGGGAAUUCCCAAAGGACAGUGUGAGCAAGAAGAAGAAGUCCUUAAGACCAUCCAAGAUGGAGAUUCUGACGAACUCACAAUAAAGCGAUUUAUUGAAGGAAAAGAGAAGCCAGGAGCACUGUGGCACAUAUAUGCUGCAAAGGACACGGAGAAGAUAAGGGAAUUUCUUAAAAAGGUAUCAGAAGAGCAAGGUCAAGAAAACCCAGCAGACCAUGAUCCUAUU